GUGUGUGAUGUGUUAGUCACUCAGUCGUGUCUGACUUUUUGUGACCCUAUGGACUGUAGCCCCCUCCAGGCUCCUCUGUCCAUGGAAUUCUCCAGGCAAGAAUACAGGAGUGGGUUGUCAUUCCCUUCUCCAGGGGAAUCUUCCCAACCCAAGGAUCAAACCUGGUCUCCUGCAUUGCAGGCAGAUUCUUUACCAUCCGAGCCACCAGGGAAGGAAUCAGUAUUAACUGGAGGGUCUGUAAAACGCAGAUGACUGAGUCCAAAACCCAGUUUCAGAUUCAGGAUGUCUCUGGUGGAGCACCUGAAUUUGCAUGUCUAACAAGUUCUUUUGUCUAGGGACCAUACUCUGAGAACCACUGAGUCAGAGCAGUAGAAGGAUUUGGUGAUAAGGUUCCUCCAAUGACUCACAUUUUUUGUACUUACAUUUUUACAGCACAUCUACUGCAUAUACGGUCUUGGGCUGGGUGCAGCAGCGGAUAUAAGGAUAGGAUUUAGGUCUUGAUUACACUUGAGCAGAUUUAUUCUCUAAGUGGAUCUAUUCUCUAAGAAGCCAGGAAGCCUAAGUGUCAGUUCAGACAGAGCAGAGAUCUCCUCCCUUGGGAAAAGAUAAAGCUCGUAAAAGAAGACUCUGUGACUCCUCCGAAAAUGCCUAGGACACGUGGAAAUGGUGGAAAAUUGCAGAAUUCUUUCCGUCUCAGCAUAGAUAAAAAAAAAAAUCAACCCAACAGACCUGAACAAACACCUGGAAAAGGUCUGCGGCAUUCAUGCCUCAGGCUCCAGCACUAAUAAUCUGCAAAGUGCUUGCAUUAAAACGGGGGAAAGUGUUCUCAGUGUCAAGGUCUCAAAAGACUUCUUGGGAGGGGGUAGACAUGGCUUCGCCUUCCCUUUACAGUUUCCAGAGAUCGGGUUCCGGCGGAAGCCGGGGUGUGCGGUGACUUGGCAAACGGCGCGGCUUGAGCGCUUUAAUAACCCAAAGGCUGAGCAGGGCGCUGUGGUGAGGCCCGUGUCAAGCGAAGGGGGCCACACGCUGGACCAUCAUUCAGAACCAGCCUCAGAUUCAGGGGUAGCGGCGGCGGCUGGGGUCCGAGAGCGCGGCACCUUUGAGACAGACCUGAGGAGUGAGGACGAGCGCCGGCCAGAGGCUGGGAAAACCGGCGAUAAGGGAGGGCGGUGCCGGAGAAGGGCGGCGCGUGGCUGACUCAUCCCUCUGGAAGAUAAGACUGACAGACGCAAACCCUUGCCGAACCCGCCCGCCCGGCCGCGCUGCUCCGGGUCGGCUGGGAGGCGCCCGCCCGCGCCGCCAGCCCGCCUGCCAGCCAGUCUUCUCCGGGAGCGCUCUCCCGGCCCGGCCGCCUCAGAGAAAGUUUUCGUCGUCGGGAGGGACCGGAGGUGCCGCGGGCCUUCGGGGAAGGGAAGGAGGACGCAGGAGGAGGCUUCAGCCGCGCGGGCCCGGGGAGUGCAUGGUGCCCGGCGCCUCGGCCGCCUAUCAGGAGGACGUCGGGGCGGGGUCGGGCUGAGGCCAGCUCCUUCUUUCCCGAGGCCUCGUCAGAAAUCGCCCUCCCGGACUGCCGCGGGG
Molecule: long non-coding RNA, 1575 nt
Filed under: Bos indicus x Bos taurus (hybrid cattle)
Lineage: Eukaryota; Metazoa; Chordata; Mammalia; Artiodactyla; Bovidae
Description: lncRNA (ENSBIXG00005027745.1)
Source: RNAcentral